GAGAUAAAAUUAAGGAAAAGCUUCUAACUUUACCCAUUAGCAAUGAAAAUAUGUUAUUAUCUCC
Molecule: transfer RNA, 64 nt
Filed under: Dermestidae sp. GENSP01
Lineage: Eukaryota; Metazoa; Arthropoda; Insecta; Coleoptera; Dermestidae
Description: tRNA-Ser
Source: RNAcentral